GAUUAUUACAUUGAUUGGCUCGGUUAACCUUUAUAUCUAAUUAAACGUGCUUUGCGUAUAACAAAUUAGUAAUCCUGCUAAAAGAUUUUAUUAUAUGUUCACUACAAGUCAAGACAGAUUUUCUGUUCACUGCAAGCCAAGGGAUCUUUUUUUAUAUUAAUAAUUCAUGUGUUAGCAAUGGUAUUGGUUGGUUGUUGGUAUUGCAAACAGGUGGAUAGUCCGAUAAACAGAGGAGAUGAUGCCGAAUUUUCGUUAGGAAUUAUAUGUAUUUAAUGGCUAUAAAAAGGGGUUAUUUGUGCAAUUAUGUGUUAUGUGUUUAUCUGCCUAUGUGGUAUGUAUAUGCGAAGGGUAGAUAUAUAUAGGUCUUAAUACUUUUCAGAGUUAGUUAAUUUGUCUGAUCCGACGGUUAAAAUACUAUUUUACUAUCGUAUAGAAUUGAAGACAUUGACCGAGGCAUUGAUCGAGAAGUGAUUGAAAUGGGUAUCCAGAAUUAGCCAAGUAGUGUUGCAAGUUGAAGUAGGGCGGAGAUUUGUUAUAGAUAAAAGCUUGUCAGAAGCUGGCAGAAAGGAAUGAUAUGGCGGUAUAUAGUAUUAUUAGAAAUCUGACCUAGACACCAGAGUUAAGGCAAGUACUUCUACCUUUCUCUCGCAAUUUAGAAGCAAGUAUUUCUACCCUACUCCUCUAGUACCUAUAGAUACUAAAACCUUCUUUAUAUCAUGAUUCAAAUUAUUUGCAAUUACUUUCUUGUGAAGCAUAUCUAGUACUUUUAAACCUUUUGGUUGAACGGAUAACACUUUUGGUAUCGACUCUACACUAUGAUAUGCAUAAAGAAAUUGUUUUAACAAAAUGUUGUUCUGGCUCUUGAAUUACAUGAUAGAACUGCAGAUUGUUUUAAAAAUUAAACUGUUGGGUUGUUUUUGCGUAAGAGGCUCGGGCACCGGCCCAGCGUGAAAGGUGGCUCCUUAAGCCCGGAUUACCGGAAUUCGUAAUAUUUGUCAACCUUGCUGAAUAAGCUUGGUUUAUGGACUAUAGCAUGACUGAUCAUCUGUUAUAGCCAGGUGUCCAAUUAAUUUUAAAGCCCAAUAAAAUUGUGAAUAGUUUAAAAAGAAGUUACCCUGCCUUCAAGAGAUAUUUGCUUAUACAUUCAUUUCUGCAGUUUUAAAUAUUUUCACUUCUUUAUUAUGGCAUUGCUGUACAACAAAUAUCAAUUUCAUUUUGUUAUUCUUGCUGAGCAUUAUUGCUCAUUCUUGCUAUUCCUUCUAACCCUUUUCAGCUAGGAAUAAAGAUGAUUCACUUAAGACUAGGCAAGGAUUGCAAGUGGUUGAGUUUCAAGCAGAUGGACAGGUAGAGUAUUUAGGACGAUGUCAUUAAGACUAGAUGCAGUUGGAGUUCUGCAAUUCAAUUCAGUUGGAAAUUAGAUUUGUUUAUUUGGUUAUCAGCUACUCUUCUUAUCGAGGUUUAGCUGAUAAUGUUGUUUAAUUUGUAAAUAAGAUUUUAUAGUUUUAGUUUCUGAUUUCAAUGCUGUAGCCUGUAUGCGAUCCUGUUUUCAGGGGGUGAAAUUGAUUUUGAAUUAAAGACCUUCUUUUAAAAAAAUAAUAUCCAGGUUUAGAAAUACUUGUUUUUACUUUCUUCCAAAAAUACAGGUUUUAAAUUGUUUUUCUUUUAAUGGCUCAAAACUACAGGUUUUAAAUUAUUUUUAUUUACACGUGGCACCAGAUCUAGACCCCCGGAUUUGAGGGAUGUCACAGUUGGUAUCAGAGCUACAGGUUAUAAGUUAUUGAAAUCAGAAUGUAGGUUGUAACUUGUCUAAUAAGAUAGACACGUUAAGUGAAACCUCACAUAUAGGUAAGUUCAGAUUAGUGGUGUAACCUCAUAUAGAGGUAUCGUAAGACUAUUUGGGGAUAGUCCUUUUGAGCAUAAUAAAAUGAAGCUAAACGAUUAUGUUUAAGUGAUUAUGGUUAUAGACACAACAAUUCCUAAUUCUAGUUCUUCCAGUCCCUAGUGGCCUAGUUUAUUGACCAAUUCAGAUUUAUAUCAUUGUAAGAGGGUCAAAGUUAGACCUAUCAACAGAACCUUCAAGCUAGAACCAGUAGAGAUUCUCACACAGUCUAAUGUAUCCUUUAUAGUAUCUUCCAAGUGUUGAGUAUUAUUUGAAGAGUCACCUUUUGAUUCUUGUCAGAGAUAUCUAGAAUUGGUGAAAGAAUAGAGGUGUUAACAAGUCCGAGUUUACAGCUUUGUAUAUAGUUAAGUAGUGAGCGUUAGAGCUACGUAGAGUUUGUGUUAGAUUAUUCGAUCUAGUACUUAUGUGUGAGUUAAGAUGUCAACGCUCUAUGGUGAUGAUUGUAUAAAGUUGGAUAAGACUUUUGACCGACAACGAUAUCAAUGAUGGGAUCUUCAGAGGCUAUUACUAGUCAACGAUAAUAUAUGCAAGUGGUCACUAAAACGUCAAGAAAAAUCACUAGAAUCAGAACGAGUCAUCAAAAGAAUCGAUCAAAAAGACAUCUGUGAGAAUCCUGGCAAUACCUUCCUCAUUGUUGAUAUAUUGAUUUCUUUCCCCAUCAAUGAUUUGUUCUGACAUCACUUUAAAAAAAAAAAAUAUUUGAUAAAGAGUAUAUUUUUACCUUUCACUCGAGUUCUCGAAUGAUACUUGUGCUUACUGUCACACCUAUAGAAUCUAUUCAAUCUUGGUAAUUUCGAACCCUUUCAUAUUCUUUACUCUAACUGAGAUGAACAACCCUACCUAUAGGGGACACAAGGACUACCUGUCUGUGUGAUAGGAGUUGGAUGGGACGCCAUCACUUGUGUGUGUUGUACAUUACAAGAAGGUUAACUACCUUUAGUAGUGUCUUAAAUUAGACACGCAACACCGAGUUCUAUAGACCAUAUUGAUCUCUCAGUUAUUCAUUUAUUUCAAUCACGUAACACUUGCUCCAAUAUGUGAAAUCUGUCAUAUCUUUUACCUUCAAGAUUCUUCUAAUCUCUAAUAGUUGGAGGUAUGCCAACCGAGUUGCCAAUAUGAAUUAAGACUUUGUAGUAAGAAGCACCAGGGAUGAAAGCGAAUGACAAUGCUGGUUAUAUCAGAAAGGAAUAUUAUGGAUUAUAGAGAUCGUACACUCUAGUUUUCUUUUUGAUGAUUCCGAGGACGGAAUCUUUUUAAGGGGGGUAGAUUGUGACGACCCGGAUUUUCAGAAAUUAUUUUAUUAUUUUUAUUCAUGAUUAUUCGAGACAAAUGAGGAAUAAAUUUCAAUAUUUUAUUCUAGUUUGAUAAUUUUCAAAAAUAUUUGUUUAAAUUAUUUUCCUAGUCAUUGUGAUUAUGAGAAAAUAUCUGUUGAUUGUACAAUUAUAUGUUACGAGAUUUAAUUGAAUUAGUUGUCUACUAUUAUGUCUGUGUGUGCAUUUAUUUUUACUUUUAAUAUUACUGUAUUGUUUUAUUGAAAUUUAUUAUCCUCUUAAAUGGAUAUUUAUUUUUGUAAAAAUACAAAGAUAAUUUCAAAAAUUAUUUUAAUUGCUCGAUAGUGAUCAUAAAUAUGUUUAGAAGUUUUUAAAAUAUUAAAAAUCCAAUUUCUACAAGGACAUGAUUUUUAAUUAGUUUCUAAACGCAGCUAACUUCUUAAUUUUGUAUAAAUUUUGAAAAUGCUCUAUAAAUCUUGAAACUUUUAUUUUAUGAGUUUUAUAAUAUUCGGUAAUUUAUAAAAUUAGUUUGUUAAUUUUUCGAGAAAGUUUUAAUGCGAGUUAUCCCGUAAAUCAACUAAAUAGCGGGUGUUUGGAUGAUUAUUCAGCUUAAAAUAAAACGUGGCAGCCUUUGGCCAAACCACGUGCCCUGCUUUUCACCACCGCCAUCCCUUUUCUUCAUUUUAUAUACAUCAGCCUCUCAAUCUCUCUCUCUCUCUCUCUGUGAAAUCCUCCAUCUCUCCCUCUCCGCUCCUCUUUCUUUUCUCACCCAUCUUCCUCUCUUUCUUGGCAUCACCGUCCCUUCCCUGCAGCCGCCGAAUUAUGCCGUUAUGCCGCUGCCACCUCUUUCCAGCGACCACCAUAGCCCUGCACCAAUUAUAAAUCAGUGGGUGUAAAGCUUAAUUUCUCUUUGUCAAAUCAGUUCUAUAUAAACGUAUAUAUACAUGUGGUGUUGUGUUUAUAUGGAUUAAAUUGAUUUAUAUAAUCGAUUUAUGUGUGCUUGUAUGUAUAUAAACUGAUUAUAUGCUGGUUUUUGAAAUUUGAAGGUUGAUUGAAUUUUUGAGAUUGAGAUUGGUGUUAGUAAUCGUAUGAUUGAAUUGUGUGCUUAAUUGAUAUUUGAAUUGGUUGUUGUAAGUUGAUUAUAAAUAGUGCGCCAAUUAGUAGUGUAAUCGGAUGACUUGGGUACUUGAAUUAUGGGAAUAUAUAACUGAGUAUUCAAGCUUUAAGGUCUGAGAUUUUUGUAAAUGUUUUCAAAGUGGUGUUUUAAGAGUUUAAGUAUUGGGCUAAAAAAAAAUUUUGAUUUACACAUAUUCGGUUGAAUUCUAGAUUGCUGUUGAUCUGUUUUGAAUUACAACUCUGGGAUCAUAGAGUUGAAUUAUAUGCUUAAUAUUUGUGUGGUUAUGUGCUCCUUAGAGUCUAGUUUAUGUGCGCGAAAGAACCGAAUCGAUUCGAUUAGCGAGCUAGGAGAUAUGACCGUUUUAGUAUAGUAUGGUGCUGAAAAUUCUGGGCAGGUUUGUCCUGUUCCAGGCUCUGUUUUACAGCUUUAAACUUGGAUUUUCUUUCUGAAAAUUUUACUGUAGGUUGGAAUAAUAUUUAGGAGUGUCUCAUAAAAAUUUCGUAUUAAAAAGAUAAUUUUUCAAUUUAUUAAAAAUCAUAGACCGAGGGCUGUUUGAACUAUUUGUUCUAUUUUUCUUUCUUUGCUAGUGCAUAGUAUGAGGUUAUACUUGACUAAUUGCAUAUGAUUGAUUAUUACAUUGAUUGGCUCGGUUAACCUUGUAUAUCUAAUUAAAAGUGUUUUGCGUAUAACAAGUUAGCAAUCCUGCUAAAAGAUUUUAUUAUAUGUUUACUACAAGUCAAGACAGAUUUUCUUAUGUGUUUACUGCAAGUCAAGGGAUCUUUUUAUAUUAAUAAUUCAUGUGUUAGCAAUAGUAUUGGUUGGUUGUUGGCAUUGCAAACAGGUGGAUAAGCUUAUAAACAGAGGAGAUGCUGCCGAAUUUUCGUUAGAAAUUAUAUGGAUUUAAUGCCUAUAAAAAGGGUUGUUUGUACAACUAUGUGCUAUGUGUUUAUGUGACUGUGGUAUGUAUAUGCGAAGGGUAGAUAUAUAUAUAGGUCUUAAUGCAAUUCAGGGUUAGUCAAUAUGUCUAAUCCGACGACUGAAAUACUAUUUUAUCAUCGUAUAGAAUUGAAGACAUUGACCGAGGCAUUAAUCGAGAAGUGAUUGAAAGGGGUAUUCAGAAAUAGCCAAGCAGAAUGUUACAAGUUGAAGUAGGACGGAGAUUUGUUAUAGAUAAAAGUGUGUCAGAAGCUGGCAGAAAGGAAUGAUUAUGCGGUAUAUAGUGUUACUAGGAAUCUGAGCUAAACUUUGGAGUUAAGGCAAGUACUUCUACCUUCUCUCGCAAUUUAGAAGCAAGUAUUUCUACCCUACUCCUCUAGUACCUAUAGAUACUAAAACCUUCUUUAUAUCAUGAUUCAAAUUAUUUGCAAUUACUUUCUUGUGAAGCAUAUCUAGUACUUUUAAACUUUUUGGUUGAACGGAUAACACUUUUGGUAUCAACUCUACACUAUGAUAUGCAUAAAGAAAUUGUUUUAACAAAAUGUUAUUCUGGCUCUUGAAUUACAUGAUGGAACUGCAGAUUGUUUUAAAAAUUAAACUAUUGGGUUGUUUUUGCGUAAGAGGCUCGGGCACCGGCCCAGCGUGAAAGGUGGCUCCUUAAGCCCGGAUUACCGGAAUUCGUAAUAUUUGUCAACCUUGCUGAAUAAGCUUGGUUUAUGGACUAUAGCAUGACUGAUCAUCUGUUAUAGCCAGGUGUCCAAUUAUUUUUAAAGCCCAAUAAAAUUGUGAAUAGUUUAAAAAGAAGUUACCCUGCCUUCAAGAGAUAUUUGCUUAUACAUUCAUUUCUGCAGUUUUAAAUAUUUUCACUUCUUUAUUAUGGCAUUGCUGUACAACAAAUAUCAAUUUCAUUUUGUUAUUCUUGCUGAGCAUUAUUGCUCAUUCUUGCUAUUCCUUCUAACCCUUUUCAGCUAGGAAUAAAGAUGAUUCACUUAAGACUAGGCAAGGAUUGCAAGUGGUUGAGUUUCAAGCAGAUGGACAGGUAGAGUAUUUAGGACGAUGUCAUUAAGACUAGAUGCAGUUGGAGUUCUGCAAUUCAAUUCAGUUGGAAAUUAGAUUUGUUUAUUUGGUUAUCAGCUACUCUUCUUAUCGAGGUUUAGCUGAUAAUGUUGUUUAAUUUGUAAAUAAGAUUUUAUAGUUUUAGUUUCUGAUUUCAAUGCUGUAGCCUGUAUGCGAUCCUGUUUUCAGGGGGUGAAAUUGAUUUUGAAUUAAAGACCUUCUUUUAAAAAAAAAAAAUAUCCAGGUUUAGAAAUACUUGUUUUUACUUUCUUCCAAAAAUACAGGUUUUAAAUUGUUUUUCUUUUAAUGGCUCAAAACUACAGGUUUUAAAUUAUUUUUAUUUACACGUGGCACCAGAUCUAGACCCCCGGAUUUGAGGGAUGUCACAGUUGGUAUCAGAGCUACAGGUUAUAAGUUAUUGAAAUCAGAAUGUAGGUUGUAACUUGUCUAAUAAGAUAGACACGUUAAGUGAAACCUCACAUAUAGGUAAGUUCAGAUUAGUGGUGUAACCUCAUAUAGAGGUAUCGUAAGACUAUUUGGGGAUAGUCCUUUUGAGCAUAAUAAAAUGAAGCUAAACGAUUAUGUUUAAGUGAUUAUGGUUAUAGACACAACAAUUCCUAAUUCUAGUUCUUCCAGUCCCUAGUGGCCUAGUUUAUUGACCAAUUCAGAUUUAUAUCAUUGUAAGAGGGUCAAAGUUAGACCUAUCAACAGAACCUUCAAGCUAGAACCAGUAGAGAUUCUCACACAGUCUAAUGUAUCCUUUAUAGUAUCUUCCAAGUGUUGAGUAUUAUUUGAAGAGUCACCUUUUGAUUCUUGUCAGAGAUAUCUAGAAUUGGUGAAAGAAUAGAGGUGUUAACAAGUCCGAGUUUACAGCUUUGUAUAUAGUUAAGUAGUGAGCGUUAGAGCUACGUAGAGUUCGUGUUAGAUUAUUCGAUCUAGUACUUAUGUGUGAGUUAAGACGUCAACGCUCUAUGGUGAUGAUUGUAUAAAGUUGGAUAAGACUUUUGACCGACAACGAUAUCAAUGAUGGGAUCUUCAGAGGCUAUUACUAGUCAACGAUAAUAUAUGCAAGUGGUCACUAAAACGUCAAGAAGAAUCACUAGAAUCAGAACGAGUCAUCAAAAGAAUCGAUCAAGAAGACAUCUGUGAGAAUCCUGGCAAUACCUUCCUCAUUGUUGAUAUAUUGAUUUCUUUCCCCAUCAAUGAUUUGUUCUGACAUCACUUAAAAAAAAAAAUAUUUGAUAAAGAGUAUAUUUUUACCUUUCACUCGAGUUCUCGAAUGAUACUUGUGCUUACUGUCAGACCUAUAGAAUCUAUUCAAUCUUGGUAAUUUCGAACCCUUUCAUAUUCUCUACUCUAACUGAGAUGAACAACCCUACCUAUAGGGGACACAAGGACUACCUGUCUGUGUGAUAGGAGUUGGAUGGGACGCCAUCACUUGUGUGUGUUGUACAUUACAAGAAGGUUAACUACCUUUAGUAGUGUCUUAAAUUAGACACGCAACACCGAGUUCUAUAGACCAUAUUGAUCUCUCAGUUAUUCAUUUAUUUCAAUCACGUAACACUUGCUCCAAUAUGUGAAAUCUGUCAUAUCUUUUACCUUCAAGAUUCUUCUAAUCUCUAAUAGUUGGAGGUAUGCCAACCGAGUUGCCAAUAUGAAUUAAGACUUUGUAGUAAGAAGCACCAGGGAUGAAAGCGAAUGACAAUGCUGGUUAUAUCAGAAAGGAAUAUUAUGGAUUAUAGAGAUCGUACGCUCUAGUUUUCUUUUUGAUGAUUCCGAGGACGGAAUCUUUUUAAGGGGGGUAGAUUGUGACGACCCGGAUUUUCAGAAAUUAUUUUAUUAUUUUUAUUCAUGAUUAUUCGAGACAAAUGAGGAAUAAAUUUCAAUAUUUUAUUCUAGUUUGAUAAUUUUCAAAAAUAUUUGUUUAAAUUAUUUUCCUAGUCAUUGUGAUUAUGAGAAAAUAUCUGUUGAUUGUACAAUUAUAUGUUACGAGAUUUAAUUGAAUUAGUUGUCUACUAUUAUGUCUGUGUGUGCAUUUAUUUUUACUUUUAAUAUUACUGUAUUGUUUUAUUGAAAUUUAUUAUCCUCUUAAAUGGAUAUUUAUUUUUGUAAAAAUACAAAGAUAAUUUCAAAAAUUAUUUUAAUUGCUCGAUAGUGAUCAUAAAUAUGUUUAGAAGUUUUUAAAAUAUUAAAAAUCCAAUUUCUACAAGGACAUGAUUUUUAAUUAGUUUCUAAACGCAGCUAACUUCUUAAUUUUGUAUAAAUUUUGAAAAUGCUCUAUAAAUCUUGAAACUUUUAUUUUAUGAGUUUUAUAAUAUUCGGUAAUUUAUAAAAUUAGUUUGUUAAUUUUUCGAGAAAGUUUUAAUGCGAGUUAUCCCGUAAAUCAACUAAAUAGCGGGUGUUUGGAUGAUUAUUCAGCUUAAAAUAAAACGUGGCAGCCUUUGGCCAAACCACGUGCCCUGCUUUUCACCACCGCCAUCCCUUUUCUUCAUUUUAUAUACAUCAGCCUCUCAAUCUCUCUCUCUCUCUCUCUGUGAAAUCCUCCAUCUCUCCCUCUCCGCUCCUCUUUCUUUUCUCACCCAUCUUCCUCUCUUUCUUGGCAUCACCGUCCCUUCCCUGCAGCCGCCGAAUUAUGCCGCUGCCACCUCUUUCCGGCGACCACCAUAGCCCUGCACCAAUUAUAAAUCAGUGGGUAUAAAGCUUAAUUUCUCUUUGUCAAAUCAGUUCUAUAUAAACGUAUAUAUACAUGUGGUGUUGUGUUUAUAUGGUUUAAUUUGAUUUAUAUAAUCGAUUUAUGUGUGCUUGUAUGUAUAUAAACUGAUUAUAUGCUGGUUAUUGAAAUUUGAAGGUUGAUUGAAUUUUUGAGAUUGAGAUUGGUGUUAGUAAUCGUAUGAUUGAAUUGUGUGCUUAAUUGAUAUUUGAAUUGGUUGUUGGAGGUUCAUUAUAAAUGGUGCGCCAACUAGUAGUGUAAUCGGAUGACUUGGGUACUUGAUUUAUGGGAAUAUAUAACUGAGUAUUAAAGCUUUAAGGUCUGAGAUUUUGUGUAAAUGUUUUCAGAAUGGUGUUUUAAGAGUUUAAGUAUUGAGCUAAAAAAAAUUUAGAUUUACACAUAAUCGGUUGAAUUGUAAGUUGCUGCUGAUCUGUUUUGCAGUAAAAUUCUGGGCUUCUAGAGUCGAAUUAUAUGCUUAAUAUUUUUGUGGUUAUGUGCUCCUCAGAGUCUAGUUUAUGUGCGCAAAAGAAUCGAAUCAAUUCGAUUAGCGAGCUAGGAGAUAUGACCGUUUUAGUAUAGUAUGGUGCUGAAAAUUCUGGGCAGGUUUGUCCUGUUCCAGGCUCUGUUUUACAGCUUUAAACUUGGAUUUUCUUUCUGAAAAUUUUACUGUAGGUUGGAAUAAUAUUUAGGAGUGUCUCAUAAAAAUUUCGUAUUUAAAAGAUAAAUUUUCAAUUUAUUAAAAAUCAUAGACCGAGGGCUGUUUGAACUAUUUGUUCUAUUUUUCUUUCUUUGCUAGUGCAUAGUAUGAGGUUAUACUUGACUAAUUGCAUAUGAUUGAUUAUUACAUUGAUUGGCUCGGUUAACCUUGUAUAUCUAAUUAAAAGUGUUUUGCGUAUAACAAGUUAGCAAUCCUGCUAAAAGAUUUUAUUAUAUGUUUACUACAAGUCAAGACAGAUUUUCUUAUGUGUUUACUGCAAGUCAAGGGAUCUUUUUAUAUUAAUAAUUCAUGUGUUAGCAAUAGUAUUGGUUGGUUGUUGGCAUUGCAAACAGGUGGAUAAGCUUAUAAACAGAGGAGAUGCUGCCGAAUUUUCGUUAGAAAUUAUAUGGAUUUAAUGCCUAUAAAAAGGGUUGUUUGUACAACUAUGUGCUAUGUGUUUAUGUGACUGUGGUAUGUAUAUGCGAAGGGUAGAUAUAUAUAUAGGUCUUAAUGCAAUUCAGGGUUAGUCAAUAUGUCUAAUCCGACGACUGAAAUACUAUUUUAUCAUCGUAUAGAAUUGAAGACAUUGACCGAGGCAUUAAUCGAGAAGUGAUUGAAAGGGGUAUUCAGAAAUAGCCAAGCAGAAUGUUACAAGUUGAAGUAGGACGGAGAUUUGUUAUAGAUAAAAGUGUGUCAGAAGCUGGCAGAAAGGAAUGAUUAUGCGGUAUAUAGUGUUACUAGGAAUCUGAGCUAAACUUUGGAGUUAAGGCAAGUACUUCUACCUUCUCUCGCAAUUUAGAAGCAAGUAUUUCUACCCUACUCCUCUAGUACCUAUAGAUACUAAAACCUUCUUUAUAUCAUGAUUCAAAUUAUUUGCAAUUACUUUCUUGUGAAGCAUAUCUAGU
This 10592-nucleotide long non-coding RNA is filed under the name Daucus carota (carrot). RNAcentral's name for it is "long non-coding RNA (DCAR_LNC003537)". The record is from RNAcentral. Lineage: Eukaryota; Viridiplantae; Streptophyta; Magnoliopsida; Apiales; Apiaceae.